CAGCCGCCACGGUAAUACGAAGGGGGCUAGCGUUGUUCGGAUUUACUGGGCGUAAAGGGCGCGUAGGCGGACUGAUAAGUCAGGGGUGAAAUCCCAAGGCUCAACCUUGGAACUGCCUUUGAUACUGUUUGUCUUGAGUUCGAGAGAGGUAAGUGGAACCGCAAGUGUAGAGGUGAAAUUCGUAGAUAUUCGCAAGAACACCAGUGGCGAAGGCGGCUUACUGGCUCGAAACUGACGCUGAGGCGCGAAAGCGUGGGGAGCAAACAGGAUUAGAGACCCGAGUAGUCCCUGUCUCUUAUAA
Molecule: ribosomal RNA, 301 nt
Filed under: uncultured bacterium
Lineage: Bacteria
Description: partial 16S ribosomal RNA
Rfam family: Bacterial small subunit ribosomal RNA
Source: RNAcentral